UUCGUGAACGACCAGGAGAAGGGCUCCCAUGGAGCAAACCCUAAUUCACACUAAAAGAUUAAAUUGAAGCUCAAAUCAAGACCCAAAUCAAUGCAUGAACAUGUAUAAAUGAUCACCUAGUCAAGGGGAUCAUAAGUUGACGCUUAACAAGCUAGAUGGAAGCUUGGGAAGGAAGCGGGUCAAACGGAUGGAGCACGCGGAAAAGAAUAACCAGAUGCAAGUGUUACAAAUACAGGCAAGCGGAAAGUAUGAGCAUGUUUUGCCAAGGUUGGCGAAAGGAAUGUCUUAUGGAACUCCGGAUGAGGAUCAAGCAAGAAAGGAGAACCGAACACAUGUCUCGAAGCUUCCGCAACGAUCUUAUUUUGUUCUAGUUUAAAAAGUGGAUAUUGUAAACACUUGAAAUUAUAUUUUGGAAUGUUUUAAAUUAUGUAAAAAGUUUAACUUGGAAAA
Molecule: long non-coding RNA, 450 nt
Organism: Helianthus annuus (common sunflower)
Lineage: Eukaryota; Viridiplantae; Streptophyta; Magnoliopsida; Asterales; Asteraceae
Exons: 4
Source: RefSeq, a predicted model, not a curated record